RNAcentral lists this transfer RNA (75 nucleotides) under Pseudomonas aeruginosa 2192. Its description in RNAcentral is "tRNA-Phe". It matches the Rfam family "tRNA". From Rfam's summary of the family: Transfer RNA (tRNA) molecules are approximately 80 nucleotides in length. Their secondary structure includes four short double-helical elements and three loops (D, anti-codon, and T loops). The record is from RNAcentral. Lineage: Bacteria; Pseudomonadati; Pseudomonadota; Gammaproteobacteria; Pseudomonadales; Pseudomonadaceae.
GCCCAGGUAGCUCAGUUGGUAGAGCACGGAUUGAAAAUCUCCGUGUCGGCGGUUCGAUUCCGUCCCUGGGCACCA